GGAUGCGAUCAUACCAGCACUAAAGCACCGGAUCCCAUCAGAACUCCGAAGUUAAGCGUGCUUGGGCGAGAGUAGUACUAGGAUGGGUGAGUCCUCGUGUUGCAUUCC
Molecule: ribosomal RNA, 108 nt
Filed under: Triticum aestivum (bread wheat)
Lineage: Eukaryota; Viridiplantae; Streptophyta; Magnoliopsida; Poales; Poaceae
Source: RNAcentral